AUACGGAGGGGGCUAGCGUUGUUCGGAAUUACUGGGCGUAAAGCGCGCGUAGGCGGUCCGCGUAGUCAGGCGUGAAAGCCCCGGGCUCAACCUGGGAACUGCGUUUGAUACUGGCGGACUAGAGUCCGUGAGAGGGUAGUGGAAUUCCCAGUGUAGAGGUGAAAUUCGUAGAUAUUGGGAAGAACACCAGUGGCGAAGGCGGCUACCUGGACCGGUACUGACGCUGAGGUGCGAAAGCGUGGGGAGCAAACAGAAUUAGAUACCCCGGUAGUCC
This 274-nucleotide ribosomal RNA is filed under the name uncultured bacterium. RNAcentral describes it as "partial 16S ribosomal RNA". It matches the Rfam family "Bacterial small subunit ribosomal RNA", at positions 523 to 796 of the family's 1533-position model. The record is from RNAcentral.